Molecule: ribosomal RNA, 313 nt
Filed under: fungal sp.
Lineage: Eukaryota; Fungi
Description: partial small subunit ribosomal RNA
Rfam family: Eukaryotic small subunit ribosomal RNA
Source: RNAcentral
CAGCAGCCGCGGUAAUUCCAGCUCCAAUAGCGUAUAUUAAAGUUGUUGCAGUUAAAAAGCUCGUAGUUGAAUUUCGGGGUCUGUCCRUCGGUCGGGCUUCACGGUCCGUACUGGUGAGAUGGGUYCCYACCUUYWGWRGAAMMRGMAWGSSGUUGUGCGGAAAAUGACACCGAAUUCUCUCCCCCACCAUGCGCGCGUAUUUUUUUUCUGAGUUUUUUUUUGUUCCCUCUUUUAUAAAAGCCCCCCCGCCUAAGUCGUUUUUAAUCCUUUUUUUCGGCCGGGGAUUUCGUUCCUCCUCUUCCUUUUUGUUUUU